UACGGAGGGUGCAAGCGUUGCUCGGAAUUAUUGGGCGUAAAGGGUAGGUAGGUGGUCUCAUUUGUCUGGGGUGAAAGCCUUGAGCUUAACUCAAGAAGUGCCCCAGAAACGGUGAGACUGGAGUCCUGGAGAGGGUCGUGGAAUUCCCGGUGUAGCGGUGGAAUGCGCAGAUAUCAGGAGGAACACCGAUGGCGAAGGCAGAUCUCUGGGCCGUAACUGACGCUGAGGAGCGAAAGCGUGGGGAGCGAACAGG
Molecule: ribosomal RNA, 253 nt
Filed under: uncultured bacterium
Lineage: Bacteria
Description: partial 16S ribosomal RNA
Rfam family: Bacterial small subunit ribosomal RNA
Source: RNAcentral